AGGCGCUUUCGGGUGUCGCUGAUGGAUGGACCCGCGGUGCAUUAGCUAGUUGGUGAGGUAACGGCUCACCAAGGCCACGAUGCAUAGCCGACCUGAGAGGGUGAUCGGCCACACUGGGACUGAGACACGGCCCAGACUCCUACGGGAGGCAGCAGUAGGGAAUCUUCGGCAAUGGACGAAAGUCUGACCGAGCAACGCCGCGUGAGUGAAGAAGGUUUUCGGAUCGUAAAACUCUGUUGUUAGAGAAGAACAAGGACGUUAGUAACUGAACGUCCCCUGACGGUAUCUAACCAGAAAGCCACGGCUAACUACGUG
Molecule: ribosomal RNA, 315 nt
Filed under: uncultured bacterium
Lineage: Bacteria
Description: bacterial SSU rRNA
Rfam family: Bacterial small subunit ribosomal RNA
Source: RNAcentral